This 468-nucleotide ribosomal RNA is filed under the name uncultured bacterium. RNAcentral describes it as "partial 16S ribosomal RNA". It matches the Rfam family "Bacterial small subunit ribosomal RNA", at positions 28 to 507 of the family's 1533-position model. The record is from RNAcentral.
GACGAACGCUGGCGGCGUGCUUAACACAUGCCAGUCGAACGGAAAGGCCCUGCCUUUGUGGGGUGCUCGAGUGGCGAACGGGUGAGUAACACGUGAGUAACCUGCCCUUGACUUUGGGAUAACUUCAGGAAACUGGGGCUAAUACCGGAUAGGAGCUCCUGCUGCAUGGUGGGGGUUGGAAAGUUUCGGCGGUUGGGGAUGUAAUCGCGGCUUAUCAGCUUGUUGGUGGGGUAGUGGAUUACCAAGGCUUUGACGGGUAGCCGGCCUGAGAGGGUGACCGGCCACAUUGGGACUGAGAUACGGCCCAGACUCGUACGGGAGGCAGCAGUGGGGAAUAUGGCACAAUGGGCGGAAGCCUGAUGCAGCAACGCCGCGUGCGGGAUGACGGCCUUCGGGUUGUAAACCGCUUUCGCCUGUGACGAAGCGUGAGUGACGGUAAUGGGUAAAGAAGCACCGGCUAACUACGUG